Molecule: ribosomal RNA, 474 nt
Filed under: Veillonella parvula
Lineage: Bacteria; Bacillati; Bacillota; Negativicutes; Veillonellales; Veillonellaceae
Description: bacterial SSU rRNA
Rfam family: Bacterial small subunit ribosomal RNA
Source: RNAcentral
GACGAACGCUGGCGGCGUGCUUAACACAUGCAAGUCGAACGAAGAGCGAUGGAAGCUUGCUUCUAUCAAUCUUAGUGGCGAACGGGUGAGUAACGCGUAAUCAACCUGCUCUUCAGAGGGGGACAACAGUUGGAAACGACUGCUAAUACCGCAUACGAUCUAAUCUCGGCAUCGAGGAUAGAUGAAAGGUGGCCUCUACAUGUAAGCUAUCACUGAAGGAGGGGAUUGCGUCUGAUUAGCUAGUUGGAGGGGUAACGGCCCACCAAGGCGAUGAUCAGUAGCCGGUCUGAGAGGAUGAACGGCCACAUUGGGACUGAGACACGGCCCAGACUCCUACGGGAGGCAGCAGUGGGGAAUCUUCCGCAAUGGACGAAAGUCUGACGGAGCAACGCCGCGUGAGUGAUGACGGCCUUCGGGUUGUAAAGCUCUGUUAAUCGGGACGAAAGGCCUUCUUUGCGAAUAGUGAGAAAGGAU